Molecule: ribosomal RNA, 497 nt
Filed under: uncultured bacterium
Lineage: Bacteria
Description: partial 16S ribosomal RNA
Rfam family: Bacterial small subunit ribosomal RNA
Source: RNAcentral
GAUGAACGCUGGCGGCGUGCCUAAUACAUGCAAGUCGAGCGAACAGAUGAGGAGCUUGCUUCUCUGAUGUUAGCGGCGGACGGGUGAGUAACACGUGGAUAACCUACCUAUAAGACUGGGAUAACUUCGGGAAACCGGAGCUAAUACCGGAUAAUAUAUUGAACCGCAUGGUUCAAUAGUGAAAGACGGUUUUGCUGUCACUUAUAGAUGGAUCCGCGCCGCAUUAGCUAGUUGGUAAGGUAACGGCUUACCAAGGCAACGAUGCAUAGCCGACCUGAGAGGGUGAUCGGCCACACUGGAACUGAGACACGGUCCAGACUCCUACGGGAGGCAGCAGUAGGGAAUCUUCCGCAAUGGGCGAAAGCCUGACGGAGCAACGCCGCGUGAGUGAUGAAGGUCUUCGGAUCGUAAAACUCUGUUAUUAGGGAAGAACAAAUGUGUAAGUAACUAUGCACGUCUUGACGGUACCUAAUCAGAAAGCCACGGCUAACUACGUG